UACGUAGGGGGCAAGCGUUGUCCGGAUUUAUUGGGCGUAAAGAGCGUGUAGGCGGCCAGGUAGGUCUGCUGUGAAAACUCGAGGCUUAACCUCGAGAUGUCGGCGGAAACCCUCUGGCUAGAGUCCGGAAGAGGGGAAUGGAAUUCCCGGUGUAGCGGUGAAAUGCGCAGAUAUCGGGAAGAACACCCGUGGCGAAGGCGGUUCUCUGGGCCUGACCUGACGCUGAGGAGCGAAAGCGUGGGGAGCGAACAGG
This 253-nucleotide ribosomal RNA is filed under the name uncultured bacterium. Its description in RNAcentral is "partial 16S ribosomal RNA". It matches the Rfam family "Bacterial small subunit ribosomal RNA", at positions 524 to 776 of the family's 1533-position model. The record is from RNAcentral.